This is a long non-coding RNA of Oreochromis aureus, 1423 nucleotides long. RefSeq lists it as uncharacterized. Lineage: Eukaryota; Metazoa; Chordata; Actinopteri; Cichliformes; Cichlidae. The transcript is spliced from 3 exons. The record is from RefSeq and is a predicted model, not a curated record.
CUUAUCUAGCUGUGUGUUUUGUCUGCCUGUCCUCGAUAAAGGACAGCGAUGUCACUGUGGAGCCACACCAGUAUACCUACAGGAAAAACCAUUCCACAGACAAUGCCAUGUCAUCAGUAGUUCCUGCAUGUUUCACAAACCUGAAAACACUAGACCUCCCCAUGCUGGAGACGAGCAGCUUUUAAUGCGGGCUCCAGCUUUGGUUACCUUGGUGUACAUCUUUCUGAGGACCUUACAUAGAGCCACAACACUGGACCCCUGGUUAAGACGGUACUGUCUCAGGAGGCUGAUGCACACCAGAUGGUUGGUGGAGAGGAUCCUGUCCUGUCUGGCAUGGUAGCUACUAUGUGGUAGAGAAGAAGGCUAAGUUGAGGGUGGUGACAGCAACAUGAAGGACGUUGGCAGCAGCCUCCCCACCAUCACAGACAUCUACAGCAGCUUCCUGUAUCUUGAAAGAUGCUCCUCACCCAGAAUACACACCUGUCCCCUCCCAUCAAGUAGGAGGCUGUGAAGCAUCAGGAGCAAAACUCGGAUUUUUCCUUGUUUUGUUACUCAUGUUAUUUUGUACUUUGUUUUAUUUUAAGCAAACCACCUUUAGUUUAUUUUUAGUUUCUGAGUCCCGUUGUUUGGGUCCUACUCCAGCCUGCAACACAGCCACGCUCACAAAUAUGAUAUGGACUAAGCAGACUCAUGUUUGGCUUCAGAGGAAAUGUUUGCCCAGCUUCUGGAAUACUGCCAGGGUGUAGUUAAUGCUAAAGACAUUUACAACCUGUUCCCGGACAUUUCCCAACAUGGAAUGUUUGGCACAAACUGUAGCCAAGCUGUGAGCCAACCUCCUUCAUAACCUGUUUGAUAAAUUCUUGAGCUAAAAUGCCCAGCGACUGUAAGUCUGGCCAGGACAUCCCCAGAGACAGGGCUAGAGCCCCCAGUUAACUCUGGCCCCCUGGAGAAUCCAUAGCCAGAACAGCCACAGCCCCUGUCCCAAGGUAAGCUCGCUGGGUUCUCUGCUGAGCCGCCCCAAGCCACAGGUGCGCCUCCUUCGCCAUCACCAUUGCAGGCUGCCAUCCAAGCCACUUGAGGAUCUCCGUCACCAUCAUCAGCCACUGGCCUCCACAGUUACUCCGUCUCUGCUGAUGGCCACUCAGCAAACCUCCAGAGUUUCUCCAUCUCAGCUGUUGGCCUCCUGGCAGACCCCCUGAACUGUGUUGCGAGCAGUCCCUGCCUCUGAACCGAGCCAGUGUUCAAGCUGACUCUGAUCUGCUCUGCCUUCUCUGUUUAGCUCCAUGGGCCAGGCCCCUGGACUGUAUUUCCUGUUUUAUUUGAGCUCAGAGACUCUGUUUGUUUUGAUUUUAUUCCCAGUACACCCCCAAACCAUCAGAGAUGCAACCCUUCGAACUGAGCACUGAUAACAAGAUGGUCCUCU